Molecule: long non-coding RNA, 237 nt
Organism: Diceros bicornis minor
Lineage: Eukaryota; Metazoa; Chordata; Mammalia; Perissodactyla; Rhinocerotidae
Exons: 4
Source: RefSeq, a predicted model, not a curated record
UGCAGAAAACCUCCACAAGCCACCUGAAGAACACAUGGGGGAAGUUUCCUGGGAGAGCUCUGAAAAACUUAAGGAGUGCUAUAGCCAAGACGAGUCCUUAAGCAUAGAACUGAUGACCAAGGAGGGGCCCUCCACGUUUGCCCCCCGGAAAGCAACCUCCAGAGGGUGCAGGAGAAGCAGCAGCAGCUGCAGCAGCUUCUCUGAUUGACUCCAAAUACUACAGCACCACACCCUUCU